ACUGGCUCAGGACGAACGCUGGCGGCGUGCCUAAUACAUGCAAGUCGAACGGUCUUUCUAUGGAAGCUUGCUUCCACUGAGAAGAUAGUGGCGAACGGGUGAGUAACACGUGGGUAACCUGCCCAUAAGAGGGGGGAUAACAUCCGGAAACGGGUGCUAAUACCGCAUAGUUUUCUUGAUCGCAUGAUUGAGAAAGGAAAGACGGCCUUUGUGCUGUCGCUUAUGGAUGGACCCGCGGCGUAUUAGUUAGUUGGUGAGGUAACGGCUCACCAAGACGAUGAUACGUAGCCGACCUGAGAGGGUGAUCGGCCACAUUGGGACUGAGACACGGCCCAAACUCCUACGGGAGGCAGCAGUAGGGAAUCUUCCGCAAUGGACGAAAGUCUGACGGAGCAACGCCGCGUGAGUGAAAGAAGGUUUUCGGAUCGUAAAACUCUGUUGUCAGAGAAGAACAAGUUGGAGAGUAACUGCUCCAGCCUUGACGGUAUCUGACCAGAAAGCCACGGCUAACUACGUGCCAGCCGCGGC
This 528-nucleotide ribosomal RNA is filed under the name uncultured bacterium. RNAcentral's name for it is "bacterial SSU rRNA". It matches the Rfam family "Bacterial small subunit ribosomal RNA", at positions 18 to 518 of the family's 1533-position model. The record is from RNAcentral.